UUUGUACUUUUGGGUAUGAUGGACAUUGACGUUUCUCUGGAGGAAGCGUCUUUCCGGUUAUCUCCAAUGAAUUUUUUGUAUGCUUUUAUUGUUGCAACCUAUGUUCAUCGCACAAGAGAAACUAACAUUUUAUUUCUGGACAAGUUGAGCAAAACAUAUUCACUUAGGUGCAAUUUUUUCAAGUUUGCACUUGCUUUUACUCUACAGAUCUAUUUAUGCAAAAAGCAAAAUAUAUUUUACCUUUUGAUGUUGUGGA
RNAcentral lists this long non-coding RNA (256 nucleotides) under Solanum tuberosum (potato). Its description in RNAcentral is "long non-coding RNA (STUB_LNC010550)". Lineage: Eukaryota; Viridiplantae; Streptophyta; Magnoliopsida; Solanales; Solanaceae. The record is from RNAcentral.